UACGGAAGGCAGCAGUGAGGAAUAUUGGUCAAUGGACGAGAGUCUGAACCAGCCAAGUAGCGUGCAGGAUGACGGCCCUAUGGGUUGUAAACUGCUUUUAUACAGGGAUAAAGUAGGGAACGUGUUCCCUUUUGCAGGUACUGUAUGAAUAAGGACCGGCUAAUUCCGUGCCAGCAGCCGCGGUAAU
RNAcentral lists this ribosomal RNA (187 nucleotides) under uncultured rumen bacterium. RNAcentral's name for it is "partial 16S ribosomal RNA". It matches the Rfam family "Bacterial small subunit ribosomal RNA", at positions 340 to 524 of the family's 1533-position model. The record is from RNAcentral.